RNAcentral lists this ribosomal RNA (254 nucleotides) under uncultured bacterium. RNAcentral's name for it is "partial 16S ribosomal RNA". It matches the Rfam family "Bacterial small subunit ribosomal RNA", at positions 524 to 776 of the family's 1533-position model. The record is from RNAcentral.
UACGGGGGGAGCAAGCGUUGUUCGGAUUUACUGGGCGUAAAGGGCGCGUAGGCGGCCACCGCAAGUCGACUGUGAAAUCUCCGGGCUUAACCCGGAAAGGUCAGCCGAUACUGCGGGGCUAGAGUGCAGAAGGGGCAACUGGAAUUCUCGGUGUAGCGGUGAAAUGCGUAGAUAUCGAGAGGAACACCGGUGGCGAAGGCGGCAUCCUGGACCGACACUGACGCUGAGGAGCGAAAGCCAGGGGAGCAAACGGG